UGCCCGGUAGCUAAAUGCGGAAGAGAUAAGUGCUGAAAGCAUCUAAGCACGAAACUUGCCCCGAGAUGAGUUCUCCCUGACUCCUUGAGAGUCCUGAAGGAACGUUAAAGACGAUGACGUUGAUAGGUCGGGUGUGUAAGCGUAGCGAUACGUUGAGCUAACCGAUACUAAUGAACCGUGAGGCUUAACCUU
RNAcentral lists this ribosomal RNA (192 nucleotides) under Citrobacter sp. Cf118. RNAcentral's name for it is "partial 23S ribosomal RNA". It matches the Rfam family "Bacterial large subunit ribosomal RNA", at positions 2739 to 2925 of the family's 2925-position model. Lineage: Bacteria; Pseudomonadati; Pseudomonadota; Gammaproteobacteria; Enterobacterales; Enterobacteriaceae. The record is from RNAcentral.